This is a long non-coding RNA of Cimex lectularius (bed bug), 274 nucleotides long. RefSeq lists it as uncharacterized. The record is from RefSeq and is a predicted model, not a curated record. Lineage: Eukaryota; Metazoa; Arthropoda; Insecta; Hemiptera; Cimicidae. The transcript has 3 exons.
GAAGUGUCCUUGAAUCACCGGCCGUUUCCCGCCAUUUCCAUGGACGAUUCAGGCUACAAUUGACGGUCGAGACGGUUUUUUCACGAUGGCGUUGUGCUGAUUUGUAUCUUUUUCCUACAUUUUCAUAAAGUGCUAUUUAAACAGUGCGUUAAGUUAUUUCGCGAGUGUUGAACAGUGUGUGGUUAGCUGGUUCAUCUUAGCUGUUUUAAGGCAAGGAUUGUUGCCUUCAAAGGGAGGGAUUUACAAAUGGUAAAUCAACUCUCUCUGCUGGCAG